Molecule: transfer RNA, 62 nt
Filed under: Platerodrilus sp. MNCN/DNA:86739
Lineage: Eukaryota; Metazoa; Arthropoda; Insecta; Coleoptera; Lycidae
Description: tRNA-Thr
Source: RNAcentral
GUUUUAAUAAUUUAAUAAAAAAUAUUGAUUUUGUAAAUCAAAUUUAGAAAUUCUUUAAAACU